GAUGAAGAACGCAGCAAAAUGCGAUAAAUAAUGUGAAUUGCAGAAUUCAGUGAAUCAUCGAAUCUUUGAACGCACAUUGCGCCCGCUGGUAUUCCGGCGGGCAUGCCUGUUCGAGCGUCAUUUCAACCCUCAAGCCCCCGGGUUUGGUGUUGGGGAUCGGCUCUGCCCUUCUGGGCGGUGCCGCCCCCGAAAUACAUUGGCGGUCUCGCUGCAGCCUCCAUUGCGUAGUAGCUAACACCUCGCAACUGGAACGCGGCGCGGCCAUGCCGUAAAACCCCAACUUCUGAAUGUUGACCUCGGAUCAGGUAGGAAUACCCGCUGAACUUAAGCAUAUCAAUAAGCGGAGGA
This 348-nucleotide unclassified non-coding RNA is filed under the name soil metagenome. Its description in RNAcentral is "partial contains 5.8S ribosomal RNA, internal transcribed spacer 2, and large subunit ribosomal RNA". The stretch from base 1 to 120 matches the Rfam family "5.8S ribosomal RNA", at positions 35 to 154 of the family's 154-position model. The record is from RNAcentral.